This 276-nucleotide ribosomal RNA is filed under the name uncultured bacterium. Its description in RNAcentral is "partial 16S ribosomal RNA". The record is from RNAcentral.
CUGCUGCCUCCCGUAGGAGUCUGGUCCGUGUCUCAGUACCAGUGUGGGGGACCUUCCUCUCAGAACCCCUACGCAUCGUCGGUUAGGUGGGCCGUUACCCCGCCUACUGCCUAAUGCGCCGCAUGCCCAUCCCUGUCCGGCCGAAGCCUUUCCUGCCUCCGGGAUGCCCCGGUGGCAUGUACGCGGGUUUAGCCCGCCUUUCGGCGGGUUGUCCCCCCGACAGGGGCAGGUUGCAUACGUGUUACUCACCCGUGCGCCGGUCGCCGGCGGAGAAAG